This 769-nucleotide unclassified non-coding RNA is filed under the name Hevea brasiliensis (rubber tree). The record is from RNAcentral. Lineage: Eukaryota; Viridiplantae; Streptophyta; Magnoliopsida; Malpighiales; Euphorbiaceae.
ACUAUUAAGUUUGGUUGGUGAGGAAUCCAAUGUGGCAAGUGUUCUUGGAGGGAACUUUUCUGCUGGUUUUGUUGCAGGUAGUCUUGCUGCCGCUGCUACCUGUCCUCUAGAUGUUGCCAAAACGCGAAGACAGAUAGAGAAGGAUCCUGUAAGGGCAUUGAGGAUGACAACACGGCAAGUAUUGUUGGACAUUUGGAGGGAUGGAGGAGUGAAAGCACUGUUCAUAGGUGUUGGUCCUCGAGUUGGUCGUGCAGGCCCAUCUGUUGGGAUUGUGGUUUCAUUUUAUGAAGUUGUGAAGUAUGUUCUGCAUCGUCAGUAUGCAACUUCCUAACCAAAGGGGCUUUCUUUGCUUUAUCCAUUCUUUUUGGGGUCUGUUGAAUCAACUUUUGGUGACAAGCAUACGAGAAGAAGUAGCCACUGGAUAUUAUAUGAAUAAUGUGGCAAGCAAAGAAGAGAAUACAGUUCUGAUAGUGUUGGGUUCUGAUAGUGCACGAUGGAAGUCUGGAAUCUUUGUCCAGUUUUGUUUUCCAGGGAACUUCCAAUGUACAGCUCGGAAUGAUCCGGAAUUUUGUUAAUUUGGGAGAUUUCCCUAACCUAGGACUUCUCUGACUUCUGAUAGUUCACAAUUUUUUUUUCCCUUAAUAGUUUUUUUUCUUAAUUUUUAAUUCACAUUAACAGAAGUUUUUGCAAGUGUUUUGGUGGCUCCAUUUUUGCAGUUAGGGUUAGGCUUGUUAUGGAUUUUGACGUACAAGGAUAGCCUUAAUCGGGA